This 1304-nucleotide long non-coding RNA is filed under the name Numida meleagris (helmeted guineafowl). RNAcentral's name for it is "lncRNA (ENSNMEG00000017430.1)". Lineage: Eukaryota; Metazoa; Chordata; Aves; Galliformes; Numididae. The record is from RNAcentral.
GCUGGAUGCGCAUAUCAAACCUUUCCUGGGAAAGUCUGAGCAAAGACAGCUUAGCGCAGGGAGAAUAAACUAUAUUCUAUUAGUUGCACUGUCACAGCUAUUAUGAUCUAGUGUAUGAGCAAGGAGGGCCUUUAGAUAAAGACACUGUCCAUUAUAUCCACGUUGCUGUGAAUGCUCCAGCAGAGCUGUUGGAAAUUUAGACAUUAUUACUGAACAUUUUUAGCAUUGUGUUUACCCUGAUCAUGUAUUUUUAUACCACCUGUAAAAUGACUCAGUUUGUUCUUUUCAAGGAAGAAAUAGGAAGAUUUUCCCUUCUCUGAAUCUAGCAUGGCAUUCCCCAUGUCCAAAUCUUCUCGGUAUUAGUGAGGUCUCAGUAUAGUGUUGAUACUGACAGCAAAUGUGAAGCUGAGUGCUGUUUGGCUGUUAAAGAUCCCAGCAGGCUACUUGGAGGAGUGAUAGUGUUAGCCUGGGGAUCAGUCAGUACUACCUCUAACACCUCUUUCAUCUCUUUCCCUCACAAAUGUUUCCCUUGGCAGCAUUACUUACAAAAGAACGUGUCAAAAAACAGUCAAGCAAACUGCAAACAGUGUAGGCAUGGCCUAACAGAACCUUCCAGGCUUUGACCCAGCUCCUCUUUUUUCACUACCUGCUCAUUCAGCGCCUCUUGGUACAACUCAGAGUGUGGGACUUGUUCCCAUUGCCAGGACCUGAGGAUACCCAGGACCUUCCUCUCAAGCUGCUGAGGAUCCUGGUGCUGAUCCACACAUGGGCUGUACGCACUUUGGCCUUUCCUGCCCAGCUGCUAGCACUGCAAGGCAGGCCCAGAAUGUAGCCCAGCACUCAGAAAUGUUAAACUUGGCACAGAGACCUCUGGCCACUUCUAUUUUGAAAACCAGUGGAAACAGCAGUAUCUGAGGAGGGUACAACAGGUGUUUCUGCAGCUCCGAAGUAUUUCAAUUUAAUUAUACAGCCAGGGAUGGCGAGGCUCGUAAAGUUCCUGUGUUUGCACCUUUGCUCUUACACUUGCUUAGAAAUGCUGCAGCUGCAGAAAGCUUUAAGAAAAUCUUUUCACCUUAUAAAACCUGGAAUAUCAAACCGUGGCAGGGUAUCUAAAAGGUGGGGCUCUGGUGUAAGGUAACAGAUCUGGAAAAUCUAUUUUAAGUUAUAUAAAUAGCCAAUAUCAAAUAUCAAGAAGAGGAUACUACAUGUGGACAUGUACACGUGCAUAUUUACAUGUGUUUGCUUCUUGAAAAGGGCUUCUUAUGUGCCAAAAGUUUCCUAAUAAAACAUAUCUGUUUUUCCCA